Molecule: ribosomal RNA, 439 nt
Filed under: uncultured bacterium
Lineage: Bacteria
Description: partial 16S ribosomal RNA
Rfam family: Bacterial small subunit ribosomal RNA
Source: RNAcentral
CCUACGGGCGGCAGCAGUGGGGAAUAUUGCACAAUGGGGGAAACCCUGAUGCAGCGACGCCGCGUGAGUGAAGAAGUAUCUCGGUACGUAAAGCUUCAUUAGUAGGGAAGAAAAUGACGGUACCUGACUAAGAAGCCCCGGCUAACCACGUGCCAGCAGCCGCGGGAAUACGUAGGGGGCAAGCGUUAUCCGGAGUUACGGGGCUUUAUGGGUGCGCAGGCGGUUUGUUAAGUAAGCGGUCAAAGUCCGGGGCUCAACCCCGGCCCGCCGUUGAAACUGGCAGUAUCGAGUUGGAGAGAAGUAUGCGGAAUGCGCGGUGUAGCGGUGAAAUGCAUAGAUAUCGCGCAGAACUCAGAUUGCGAAGGCAGCAUGCCGGCUCCACACUGACGCUGAGGCACGAAAGCGUGGGUAUCGAACAGGAUUAGAUACCCCAGUAGUC